Molecule: long non-coding RNA, 249 nt
Organism: Vitis riparia (riverbank grape)
Lineage: Eukaryota; Viridiplantae; Streptophyta; Magnoliopsida; Vitales; Vitaceae
Exons: 3
Source: RefSeq, a predicted model, not a curated record
GUAAUCCUGGAAUUACUCUGUAAUUAUCUGCCAUCAAGCCUCUUACUGGAAAUAACUUUGAGGAAUGGUAUGAGUCUUUCAAUGUGCAUAUGACUCUGCAUAAUUUGGACUUGGCUUUGAGAGUUAAUGAGCUAAGUAAGCCCACUGAUGUGAGCUCUGUUGAUGAAAGAUCCUUUUAUGAGAGAUGGGAGCACUCCAAUAGGAAUUGUUUGAUAGGAUUAUCACCCAAAAUGGUUUUAAAGAGAAUAC